AACGCACAUUGCGCCCCCUGGUAUUCCGGGGGGCAUGCCUGUCCGAGCGUCAUUUCAACCCCUCAAGCACGGCUUGUGUUAUGGGUGGCCGUCCCCUGCCUGGCGGGGGACGCUCCCUAAACUUAGCGGGGACGUCGCGAUCACACCGAAGCCUCAGCGUAUGGGAUCAACCAGAGCUGCACGGCGGUGUCCGGCGUCGACCUUAGCGGGCAUGACCGCCCAAAAUCUUCCAGGUUGACCUCGGAUCAGGUAGGGAUACCCGCUGAACUUAA
Molecule: unclassified non-coding RNA, 272 nt
Filed under: uncultured fungus
Lineage: Eukaryota; Fungi
Description: partial contains 5.8S ribosomal RNA, internal transcribed spacer 2, and large subunit ribosomal RNA
Rfam family: 5.8S ribosomal RNA (bases 1-52)
Source: RNAcentral